UCCCUGGUGGCUCAGAGGUUAAAGCAUCUGCCUGCAAUGUAGGAGACCUGGGUUCAAUCCCUGGGUUGGGAA
RNAcentral lists this transfer RNA (72 nucleotides) under Bos taurus (domestic cattle). It matches the Rfam family "tRNA". From Rfam's summary of the family: Transfer RNA (tRNA) molecules are approximately 80 nucleotides in length. Their secondary structure includes four short double-helical elements and three loops (D, anti-codon, and T loops). Further hydrogen bonds mediate the characteristic L-shaped molecular structure. tRNAs have two regions of fundamental functional importance: the anti-codon, which is responsible for specific mRNA codon recognition, and the 3' end, to which the tRNAs corresponding amino acid is attached (by aminoacyl-tRNA synthetases). tRNAs cope with the degeneracy of the genetic code in two manners: having more than one tRNA (with a specific anti-codon) for a particular amino acid; and 'wobble' base-pairing, i.e. permitting non-standard base-pairing at the 3rd anti-codon position. Lineage: Eukaryota; Metazoa; Chordata; Mammalia; Artiodactyla; Bovidae. RNAcentral also lists the same sequence under 2 other names. The record is from Rfam by way of RNAcentral.